UACAGAGAGUGGAAACGUUGUUCGGAAUUACUGGGCUUAAAGCACACGUAGGCGGCGCCGCAAGUGUGGGGUGAAAUCCCAAGGCUUACCCGUGGAACUGCCUGGCAGACUGCGGUGCUAGAGGAUGGUAGGGGAGAGCGGAACUCCUGGUGGAGCGGUGAAAUGCGUAGAUAUCAGGAGGAACACCGGUGGCGAAGGCGGCUCUCUGGUCCAUUACUGACGCUGAGGUGCGAAAGCUAGGGGAGCAAACGGG
Molecule: ribosomal RNA, 253 nt
Filed under: uncultured bacterium
Lineage: Bacteria
Description: partial 16S ribosomal RNA
Rfam family: Bacterial small subunit ribosomal RNA
Source: RNAcentral